This 204-nucleotide long non-coding RNA is filed under the name Carica papaya (papaya). RNAcentral's name for it is "long non-coding RNA (CPAP_LNC005256)". The record is from RNAcentral. Lineage: Eukaryota; Viridiplantae; Streptophyta; Magnoliopsida; Brassicales; Caricaceae.
AUUGCCUAGUUAAAAUAAAGAAUAAAAAGAAAAAAAGAGAAAAACAAAAUGAAGCAUGAAGGGUCCAAAGUUUAUCUGUAUUGACAUGUAUAUUGCAUCAAGUGUCUCGUUAAGUUUUUUAUCUCUUCAGAGUAUCUAUUCCCUUAAUUCUUCGGGGUAUCUGUUUCCCCCUCCCAUAUCUAGUCUGAAAAAACGUAAGAGGAC